CACGCCGUAAACUAUGGAUGCUAGCUGUUAACCGUAUCGACCCGGUUAGUAGCGAAGCUAACGCGUUAAGCAUCCCGCCUGUGGAGUACGGUCGCAAGACUAAAACAUAAAGGAAUUGACGGGGACCCGCACAAGCGGUGGAGCGUGUUCUUUAAUUCGAAGGUAAGCGAAGAACCUUACCAGGGUUUGACAUCCCAGAAAGGCAUCCGAAAGGAUACUGUGCCCUCGGGAAUCUGGUGACAGGUGU
This 247-nucleotide ribosomal RNA is filed under the name uncultured bacterium. RNAcentral describes it as "partial 16S ribosomal RNA". It matches the Rfam family "Bacterial small subunit ribosomal RNA", at positions 796 to 1041 of the family's 1533-position model. The record is from RNAcentral.